Molecule: ribosomal RNA, 253 nt
Filed under: uncultured bacterium
Lineage: Bacteria
Description: partial 16S ribosomal RNA
Rfam family: Bacterial small subunit ribosomal RNA
Source: RNAcentral
UACGAGGGGAGCAAGCGUUGUUCGGAAUCACUGGGCGUAAAGGGAGCGUAGGCGGGUUUCUAAGUCAGGUGUUUAAUCCCGGGGCCCAACCCCGGACAGGCACUUGAAACUGGGAAUCUUGAAUAGUGGAGAGGUCAGUGGAAUUGGGGGUGUAGCGGUGGAAUGCGUAGAGAUCCCCAAGAACACCAGUUGCGAAGGCGGCUGACUGGACACAUAUUGACGCUGAGGCUCGAAAGCAUGGGGAGCAAACAGG